RNAcentral lists this long non-coding RNA (205 nucleotides) under Lathyrus oleraceus (garden pea). RNAcentral's name for it is "Pisum sativum (pea) long non-coding RNA (PSAT_LNC021986)". Lineage: Eukaryota; Viridiplantae; Streptophyta; Magnoliopsida; Fabales; Fabaceae. The record is from RNAcentral.
GAAAUUUUUGUUAAUUGUUCUUUUGCCGUAAAAAGUCAAGAGCAUUCACUUAGGGUGAGUAAAAGAUAAGUUGCGGAGAACGAAAAUGAGAAUCGGUAAGUGCCACAACUCUUGAAUAACCGAGCAAGCAUUGAAAAAAAUAAGAAAAGAGAAACAUCUGCUUAUGUAUACAAUGUGAAAAGAAAAAGAAAAAAAAUAGGAAAAU